RNAcentral lists this long non-coding RNA (356 nucleotides) under Mus pahari (shrew mouse). RNAcentral describes it as "lncRNA (MGP_PahariEiJ_G0002732.1)". Lineage: Eukaryota; Metazoa; Chordata; Mammalia; Rodentia; Muridae. The record is from RNAcentral.
AGGUCCGCUGGGCUCUCGCCGCGCACUACACCCGCCCGCGUCCCCAGCUUCCGGCGCCUCAGCCCACAGAAGAGCAUACCCUAGAUUCUCGAUUCCCGGACUGGUAGCAAGCAGAAAUGAGGAGGGCCCAACCGCGCCCGAGGCCUUAAAUACUAAUGGGGGGCGGAGUGUCGGGAGGAGUCUGAAGGCCAGGGUGCGGCCGCUCCCGAGUAGGAAAAGGAACAGUAAGGCCAGGUACCCAUGGGAACUUUGAUGUUUUUGCUGCCUGCGCCGACCUUGCUGCUACAACAUACUCCAGCUGAAGAAGUGGAUGGAUUUUGUGUUUUUUUUCCUUUAUAAACACAAAGCUUAUUAUU